AAAUCCCACGGCUCAACCGUGGAACUGCUCGGUAGACUGCACGUCUUGAACCCGACAGGGGCCGUCGGAACGAUAGGUGGAGCGGUGAAAUGCUUAGAUAUCUAUCGGAACGCCAAUGGCGAAGGCAGGCGGCUGGGUCGGUGUUGACGCUCAGGCACGAAAGCGUGGGUAGCGAACGGGAUUAGAUACCCCGGUAGUCCACGCCGUAAACGAUGGGCACUAGGUCGGGGAGGUUUUGACGCCAUCCCGGCCGAAGCUAAUGUGUUAAGUGCGCCGCCUGGGGAGUACGGUCGCAAGGCUAAAACUCAAAGGAAUUGACGGGGACUCACACAAGCGGUGGAGCAUGUGGCUUAAUUCGAAGCAACGCGAAGAACCUUAUCCUGGGUUUGACAUGCACGGAUUAGCUUCCUGAAAGGGAAGUGACAGGCUUGCCUGGAACGUGCACAGGUGCUGCAUGGCUGUCGUCAGCUCGUGCUGUGAAGUGUCGGGUUAAGUCCCUUAACGAGCGAAACCCCUGUCGUUAGUUGCCAGCAUUCAGUUGGGGACUCUAACGAGACUGCCGGUGUCAAACCGGAGGAAGGUGGGGAUGACGUCAAGUCCUCAUGGCCUUUAUGCCCAGGGCUGCACACGUGCUACAAUGGCAUGGACAGAUCGAAGCAAUGCCGCAAGGUGGAGCAAAUCGCACAAACCAUGCCCCAGUUCGGAUUGUGGUCUGCAA
RNAcentral lists this ribosomal RNA (718 nucleotides) under uncultured Planctomycetota bacterium. Its description in RNAcentral is "bacterial SSU rRNA". It matches the Rfam family "Bacterial small subunit ribosomal RNA", at positions 597 to 1310 of the family's 1533-position model. Lineage: Bacteria; Pseudomonadati; Planctomycetota. The record is from RNAcentral.